Molecule: ribosomal RNA, 402 nt
Filed under: uncultured bacterium
Lineage: Bacteria
Description: bacterial SSU rRNA
Rfam family: Bacterial small subunit ribosomal RNA
Source: RNAcentral
CUCUCGUGGACUUCGGGAGGCGGGGUGCCUUCGGGACUCUGUGCAGGUGCUGCAUGGCUGUCGUCAGCUCGUGUUGUGAAAUGUUGGGUUAAGUCCCGUAACGAGCGCAACCCUUAUCCCUAUUUGCCAGCGAUUCGGUCGGGAACUCUAGGGAGACUGCCGGUGACAAACCGGAGGAAGGUGGGGACGACGUCAAGUCAUCAUGGCCCUUACGGGUAGGGCUACACACGUGCUACAAUGGCGGGUACAAAGGGUCGCAAGACCGCGACGUGGAGCUAAUCCCACAAAGCCUGCCUCAGUCCGGAUUGGAGUCUGCAACUCGACUCCAUGAAGUCGGAAUCGCUAGUAAUCGUGAAUCAGAAUGUCACGGUGAAUACGUUCCCGGGUCUUGUACACACCGAA